AUUCUACUCCCUCCGUCCCAAAUUAGUUGUCUUAGAUCUGUCAAGAUACAAAUGUAUCUAACACGUGUUAGAUACAUCCAUAUCUAGACAAAUCUAAGACAACUAAUUCGGGGCGGAAGUAAUAAAAG
This is a non-coding RNA of Triticum aestivum (bread wheat), 128 nucleotides long. The record is from Rfam. NCBI's taxonomy places the organism in Eukaryota, Viridiplantae, Streptophyta, Magnoliopsida, Poales, Poaceae.